UCAUUUGUUCAUAGCAUAGCAUGGCAUCUCCCCUGAAACUGCUACUGUAAUUUGCAUUCCCCUAGCAUUUGGAGCUGCAGAUCAAGAAAGCGCAAGUGGAUAUCGAAAUUCUCGAUGCUAACCUCAGGGACUACGAACUCCACCCAGAACAACAAUCUGAUCAUUCACUGCCUCAACUGUUAUGGUGUGAGAAAAACCUCAAUC
RNAcentral lists this long non-coding RNA (204 nucleotides) under Linum usitatissimum (flax). RNAcentral describes it as "long non-coding RNA (LUSI_LNC000055)". Lineage: Eukaryota; Viridiplantae; Streptophyta; Magnoliopsida; Malpighiales; Linaceae. The record is from RNAcentral.